Cryptomeria japonica (Japanese cedar) is the source of this 499-nucleotide long non-coding RNA. RefSeq lists it as uncharacterized. The record is from RefSeq and is a predicted model, not a curated record. NCBI's taxonomy places the organism in Eukaryota, Viridiplantae, Streptophyta, Pinopsida, Cupressales, Cupressaceae. The transcript has 3 exons.
UAGCAUUUGCAUGACCCAGGCGACAUCUUCUUUCAUCUUGGUUGAUGAAAUCGGUCACGCGUGUCUAUUCUUAUCUCUAGUUGCUUCACCUACGGCAUCUCCAUGACCCAAGCGACAUCUUCUUUCAUCUUGGCUGAUCGGAUCAGUCACGCGUGUCUAUUCUUAUCUUUGGUUGCUACACCUACAGGUGAUAAAGUUAGGUUGUUGGAUCCAUUUGAUAGUGUUGUUGUUGGCAUUGGGGUGAUUCACUCCCUAUCUAUUCUACAUGGAGUAAACUUAAAAGGAAUAGGGGACGCAAAUGUGAACAUUUUAAUGGUCACAAGUAAGAUACCUCUUCCUUAUGAAGACAAAAUAGAUGGAAUCGUCCGUCUGAAAGAGAAAGAGGGAACCUUCGCAAGGUGGCCAUUAAAAUAUUUGUAGAAAAUGUUUUGAAAGAGUUGGAAACUCUUAGACAACUUUGACAUUUUUUAUUAUAUUUACAUAUAUACCCUUAGACAAA